RNAcentral lists this ribosomal RNA (467 nucleotides) under uncultured bacterium. RNAcentral describes it as "partial 16S ribosomal RNA". It matches the Rfam family "Bacterial small subunit ribosomal RNA", at positions 28 to 506 of the family's 1533-position model. The record is from RNAcentral.
GACGAACGCUGGCGGCGUGCUUAACACAUGCAAGUCGAACGGAAAGGCCCUGCUUUUGUGGGGUGCUCGAGUGGCGAACGGGUGAGUAACACGUGAGUAACCUGCCCUUGACUUUGGGAUAACUUCAGGAAACUGGGGCUAAUACCGGAUAGGAGCUCCUGCUGCAUGGUGGGGGUUGGAAAGUUUCGGCGGUUGGGGAUGGACUCGCGGCUUAUCAGCUUGUUGGUGGGGUAGUGGCUUACCAAGGCUUUGACGGGUAGCCGGCCUGAGAGGGUGACCGGCCACAUUGGGACUGGGAUGCGGCCCAGACUCCUACGGGAGGCAGCAGUGGGGAAUAUUGCACAAUGGGCGGAAGCCUGAUGCAGCAACGCCGCGUGCGGGAUGACGGCCUUCGGGUUGGAAACCGCUUUCGCCUGUGACGAAGCGUGAGUGACGGUAAUGGGUAAAGAAGCACCGGCUAACUACGU